CCUGAUAUAGGGUGUUGAUGUCAUUAGACCACACCCCUUCUCAUUACAGAGAUGCACAUCACCUAAUAUGCUUAAUUGGUAGUAGGCUUUCGAGCCUAUACAGCUUGGAGUAAGACAACAUGCAUAAAGAGGAUGAUGUGGUCAAAAUACUCAUUUGCCUAAUAAUUCUGCACUCCCUGUAUAGCUGUGUAGCUCUUACAAUAGCUAGUGGUUAUAGCUUGUAUAGCAGGUCCCUAUAAACAUGAGGCAAGGCUCUAUGUUGAGGGUAAAGCUGGAACUGAUAUUAAUGGUGCCACACGUGGCCUUUUAUGACAAUCCCUAUGCAAGGGGCACUCCCAAAUGGACCUUGUGGGGAACUACGGUACAAAGUCACAGACCAAUAAUAACAAUGUUACAAUGCAUGACACUCCCACAAACAGCAUACAAUCCCUCCCCUCUGUCUGGGAGAUAAUGGAGUCAGAUACUGUAUUAACUCAAUUAUCUCAUUAUUAGGAUCAGGGGGUUAUGGGUAAUUAGAUUACAUUGAUGGGGAGGAGGAGCAGGGGGAUAUGGG
Molecule: non-coding RNA, 553 nt
Organism: Pelobates cultripes (western spadefoot toad)
Lineage: Eukaryota; Metazoa; Chordata; Amphibia; Anura; Pelobatidae
Source: the annotation of a GenBank genome assembly